AUCUUUCUUUUCGAACUUAUAGGUUAAGAAAUUCUUUAAUUUCAUAUAUUUAUUUUAUUUUCUUCAUUGUUUCCCUCCGAUCUAAACAUAAUGAGUUCACGAAAUUCAGUAAAUGAUUAGAAAAAUGAGAACAAUAUAUUAUUUUCCUAUUUGUUAGUAUUGAAUUUAAUAAAUGAAAUAAUUUAAAAAUAUGGAUUAUGUUAUAUUACAAAUAUAAAAUAAUGUUAAUCCAUGCCAUCUCUCUCUCUUUCUGCUCUAGAGAUGGCUUAUGCUUGUACCUUUGCUUCUCUUGUAACCCAUCUUCUUCUGCAACCUAUGAUUGCAAGGAGUGACUUUCUAUCUCCACUUCUCUCUCCUGUUUUUAGUUUAUUCUACUUCUUCAAUUCCUUAACAGCUAGCACUUUGUUUUAUGAAUGUGAAAGUGAUCCUGGAUGGAAGUAGACUCGCUCGGACCAUGAUGAUCAUCUCAAAUUUCAUCCAUUCAUGGUACCCAACUUGAUUUUGUCCAUAAAAUCACCAAUUCUUGUCAUCGAUUGAAGAUACGAUUGUGGAGGUGAUUCCUGGAACAAGACAUCUACAUUCACUUGCACUUGCGAAUGUAGAGAGGGUUAUUGUAACAUUCUCAAUAUCACUGCCUUUCCUUGCUUGAAAGAAUCUAAUUCAAACCUUCACCAAAGUUUCCCUUGGUUGAUGGUAUUGAUUAUGUCUCUGGCUAUGAUUCAGUGGAAACAGAAUUCAUAUACAUAGUCUCCUACGAUCAUCUUGUUUUGAUAAAUUGUUUGAUGCCUGACUUAGUUCAAUAAUUGCGUUUCUUAGGCUGUAAAAAUCUCUAAUAGAGUUAGAACACAAAGAGAGGCCAUAUGGAACUCAAACUUCUUGGGCCCCUAAAUAUGCAAGCCCAGGAUCUACACAAGCAGAUAUUAUCCAAAGUGGCCUGGUUUUUAUUUUA
Hevea brasiliensis (rubber tree) is the source of this 949-nucleotide long non-coding RNA. RefSeq lists it as uncharacterized. The transcript is spliced from 3 exons. The record is from RefSeq and is a predicted model, not a curated record. Lineage: Eukaryota; Viridiplantae; Streptophyta; Magnoliopsida; Malpighiales; Euphorbiaceae.